RNAcentral lists this ribosomal RNA (420 nucleotides) under Fusobacteriota bacterium. RNAcentral's name for it is "Fusobacteria bacterium partial 16S ribosomal RNA". It matches the Rfam family "Bacterial small subunit ribosomal RNA", at positions 355 to 776 of the family's 1533-position model. The record is from RNAcentral. Lineage: Bacteria; Fusobacteriati; Fusobacteriota.
UGGGGGAUAUUGCACAAUGGGCGAAAGCCUGAUGCAGCGACGCCGCGUGGGGGAUGAAGGCCUUCGGGUUGUAAACUUCUUUUGCUCUGAACAAGGCAUGCCUUUGGGGUGUGUUGAGUGUAGGGGUUGAUUAGCGCCGGCUAACUACGUGCCAGCAGCCGCGGUAAUACGUAGGGCGCGAGCGUUGUCCGGAAUUAUUGGGCGUAAAGGGCUUGUAGGUGGCUGGUUGCGUCUGUCGUGAAAGCUCAUGGCUUAACUGUGGGUUUGCGGUGGGUACGGGCUGGCUUGAGUUCAGUAGGGGAGGGUGGAAUUCCUGGUGUAGCGGUGGAAUGCGCCGAUAUCAGGAGGAAUACCGGUGGCGAAGGCGGGUCUCUGGGCUGUUACUGACGAUGAGGAGCAAAAGCGUGGGGAGCGAACAGG